UUGGAGGGCAAGUCUGGUGCCAGCAGCCGCGGUAAUUCCAGCUCCAAUAGCGUAUAUUAAAGUUGUUGCAGUUAAAAAGCUCGUAGUUGAACCUUGGGUCUGGCUGGUCGGUCCGCCUCACCGCGAGUACUGAUCCGGCUGGACCUUUCCUUCUGGGGAACCUCAUGGCCUUCACUGGCUGUGGGGGGAACCAGGACUUUUACUGUGAAAAAAUUAGAGUGUUCAAAGCAGGCCUUUGCUCGAAUACAUUAGCAUGGAAUAAUAGAAUAGGACGUGCGGUUCUAUUUUGUUGGUUUCUAGGACCGCCGUAAUGAUUAAUAGGGAUAGUCGGGGGCGUCAGUAUUCAGCUGUCAGAGGUGAAAUUCUUGGAUUUGCUGAAGACUAACUACUGCGAAAGCAUUCGCCAAGGAUGUUUUCAUUAAUCAGGGAACGAAAGUUAGGGGAUCGAAGACGAUCAGAUACCGUCGUAGUCUUAACCAUAAACUAUGCCGACUAGGGAUCGGACGGGAUUCUAUGAUGACCCGUUCGGCGCCUUACGGGAAAC
Molecule: ribosomal RNA, 544 nt
Filed under: uncultured Eurotiomycetes
Lineage: Eukaryota; Fungi; Ascomycota; Eurotiomycetes
Description: SSU rRNA
Rfam family: Eukaryotic small subunit ribosomal RNA
Source: RNAcentral